ACCAGGAUGGCAGUGGUUAAGGUGUGUUGGACUUAAGAUCCAAUGGACGAUAUGUCCUCGUGGGUUCGAACCCAACUCCUGGUA
This 84-nucleotide transfer RNA is filed under the name Alosa alosa (allis shad). RNAcentral's name for it is "tRNA-Leu". It matches the Rfam family "tRNA". From Rfam's summary of the family: Transfer RNA (tRNA) molecules are approximately 80 nucleotides in length. Lineage: Eukaryota; Metazoa; Chordata; Actinopteri; Clupeiformes; Clupeidae. The record is from RNAcentral.